Molecule: unclassified non-coding RNA, 338 nt
Filed under: soil metagenome
Description: partial contains 5.8S ribosomal RNA, internal transcribed spacer 2, and large subunit ribosomal RNA
Rfam family: 5.8S ribosomal RNA (bases 1-120)
Source: RNAcentral
GAUGAAGAACGUAGCGAAAUGCGAUAAGUAAUGUGAAUUGCAGAAUUCAGUGAAUCAUCGAAUCUUUGAACGCACAUUGCGCCCGCCAGCAUUCUGGCGGGCAUGCCUGUUCGAGCGUCAUUUCAACCCUCAAGCUCUGCUUGGUGUUGGGGCCCUACGGUUGACGUAGGCCCUUAAAGGUAGUGGCGGACCCUCUCGGAGCCUCCUUUGCGUAGUAACUAACGUCUCGCAUUGGGAUUCGGAGGGACUCUUGCCGUAAAACCCCCAAAUUUUCUAAUGGUUGACCUCGGAUCAGGUAGGAAUACCCGCUGAACUUAAGCAUAUCAAUAAACGGAGGA